Molecule: small RNA, 77 nt
Filed under: Neogale vison (American mink)
Lineage: Eukaryota; Metazoa; Chordata; Mammalia; Carnivora; Mustelidae
Description: Neovison vison (American mink) 7SK RNA (ENSNVIG00000014051.1)
Rfam family: 7SK RNA
About the family: 7SK was discovered as an abundant small nuclear RNA in the mid-70s but a possible function has only recently been suggested. Two independent studies have found that 7SK RNA binds the CDK9/cyclin T complex (known as elongation factor P-TEFb).
Source: Rfam by way of RNAcentral
UCUGGCUGCGACAUCUGUCACCCCAUUGAUCGCCAGGGUUGAUUCGGCUGAUCUGGCUGGCUAGGCGGGGGUCCCCU